RNAcentral lists this ribosomal RNA (257 nucleotides) under uncultured bacterium. RNAcentral's name for it is "partial 16S ribosomal RNA". It matches the Rfam family "Bacterial small subunit ribosomal RNA", at positions 336 to 607 of the family's 1533-position model. The record is from RNAcentral.
UUCCUAUGGGAGGCAGCAGUGGGGAAUAUUGCACAAUGGGCGAAAGCCUGAUGCAGCAACGCCGCGUGAAGGAAGAAGGGUUUCGGCUCGUAAACUUCUAUCAACAGGGACGAAAGAAAUGACGGUACCUGAAUAAGAAGCCCCGGCUAACUACGUGCCAGCAGCCGCGGUAAUACGUAGGGGGCAAGCGUUAUCCGGAAUUACUGGGUGUAAAGGGUGAGUAGGCGGCAUGGUAAGCCAGAUGUGAAAUCCCGCGG